RNAcentral lists this long non-coding RNA (1775 nucleotides) under Salmo salar (Atlantic salmon). RNAcentral describes it as "lncRNA (ENSSSAG00000099888.1)". The stretch from base 700 to 771 matches the Rfam family "mir-133 microRNA precursor family". The record is from RNAcentral. Lineage: Eukaryota; Metazoa; Chordata; Actinopteri; Salmoniformes; Salmonidae.
CGUCUGUGUAUCCUUUCCCCUACUACCCAUCUUCUCCCCCUCAUCACCUACCCUCACCACACACACACUCCUUAAGUAGGACCGCACUUCAAAGUAAGGACCACUUCAGCAGUUUAUGAACAUCAGGAUAUGCUUUUAUUGAUGAGAGAGAGAGAGAGAGAGAGAGAGAGAGAGAGAGAGAGAGAGAGAGAGAGAGAGAGAGAGAGAGAGAGAGAGAGAGAGAGAGAGAGAGAGACAGAGAGCAGUUGCUUUACUUAUGCACUCCACAUCCCCCCCUCUCAUUUCACCUUCCAGUCAGGUACAAAGGGUAGCAAUUAUAUAGACUGUAAUACAUAGUAAUACAUGGUUAGGAAAUAAAUACUUACCUUGACUAUUGUAUAACAAAACACAUCUAUAUCCUUAUACUGUACAGAAAGGUUCAACUGUAUUUUAAGCCUUCCCUGUUGUGGUCUUGAUGGUUCCCUUUUGUGCUCACACAUGUCUGCUCCUGGAUCAGUGUGUCCUGACACAGUGUCUCUGUUAUUUAUAUCUGCCAUACCGGUGAGCGCUGUUCUCAGGUCAGUGGUGCCCAUCCCUGACACGGUGUCUCUGUUAUAGUUGCCCUCUUUUGAGCGCUGUUCUCAGGUCAGAGAGUCAGUCUUGGUGUGUCUGUCAGACAUUCUGUGUCUCUCUCUUCAGUGGUCCGGUGUGAUCAAUGCAGAGCUACAGCUGGUUGAAGGGGACCAAAUCCAUUCAACAGUUGAUUUGGUUCCAUUUUACCAGCUUUAGCAAAGCAUUUUUGGUGUGAAGUUCUUCAGUGCAGCCAGAAGAGGUGAGGUGGGACAGCUUCAGUCUUAGAAGAGAGGGAACAGAAAGGAGGAGAGGAUGGUUGGUGACGUUUCAUCAAAACACCGGUCCACAUAGACAGCACGCAUAGACAAAGAAGUGAUUAUUGGAGAAAAUGAUGGCAUUAUAUGAGUUCCUAGGCAUGCACGGUGUAACAAAAGGGUAGGAGAGAACUAAGGAAAUAACUUUUAUUUUACCACGGCCAAACCCUAACGACGCUGGGCCAAUUGUGCACCGCCCUAUGGGACUCUCAAUCACGGCCAGUUGUGAUACAGCCUGGAAUUGAACUAAGGUCUGGAGUGACACCUCCAGCACAAAGAUGCAGUGCCUUAGACCACUGCACCACUCUGGAGCCCAUGGCAAAACUAUGGCAGUUAUGAUGUCAUUAUGAGUUCCUAGGCAUGCGACAAGAGGGUAACAAGAGGGUAGGAGAGAACUGAGGAAAGAACAAUGGCACUUAUAGAGCAGAGAAAGGAGAGGAGGAGAGGAGGAGAGGAGGAAAGGAGAAGAGGAGAGGAGAAAGAGAAGACGAGAGGAGGAGAGGAGGAGGAGAGAAAGAGAGGAGGAGGGAAGGAGGAGGAGAGGAGAGGAGAGGAGAGGAGAGGAGAGGAGAGGAGAAAGAGAGGAGAGGAGAAAGAGAGGACGAGAGGAGGAGGAGAGAAAGAGAGGAGGAGAGGAGGAGGAGGAGAGGAGAAGAGGAGAGGAGAGGAGAAAGAGAGGACGAGAGGAGGAGGAGAGAAAGAGAGGAGGAGGAUAGAAAGAGAGGAGGAGGAGGGAAGAGAGGAGGAGAGGAGGAGGUGAGGAGGAGGAGAGGAUGAGGUGAGGAGCGAGAGAAGAAAGGAGAUAGGAGUGAGGCCCCGAGAUAUAUCAGGAGGAGAGAGAGGAUGGUAAGAGAUCUGAAAACACAAUUUUUAGCUUUGUUUUUCCUUAAGGUGUUUUUUUAGUUGUUC